RNAcentral lists this ribosomal RNA (478 nucleotides) under uncultured bacterium. RNAcentral describes it as "SSU rRNA". It matches the Rfam family "Bacterial small subunit ribosomal RNA", at positions 26 to 523 of the family's 1533-position model. The record is from RNAcentral.
AGGACGAACGCUUGCGGCGUGCCUAAGAAAUGCAAGUCGAACGGAUUAGCAGUAAUGCUAGUUAGUGGCGAACGGUCGCGUAACACGUAAGGAACCUGCCUUGGAGUGGGGGAUAACAGCCCGAAAGGGUUGCUAAUACCGCAUAUGAACAUCGAUCGGCAUCGGUUGAUGUUUAAAGCUUGAUGCGCUUUAAGAUGGUCUUGCGGCCUAUCAGUUAGUUGGUGGGGUAAUGGCCUACCAAGACGUUGACGGGUAGCUGGUCUGAGAGGACGAUCAGCCGGAUUGGGACUGAGAUACGGCCCAGACUCCUACGGGGGGCAGCAAUUAAGAAUCUUGCACAAUGGGGGAAACCCUGAUGCAGCGACGCCGCGUGGAGGAUGACGGUCUUCGGAUUGUAAACUCCUUUGACAGGGAAGAAGAAUGUGACGGUACCUGUCGAAUAACGCCCCGGCUAACUACGUGCCAGCAGCCGCGGUAA